UCGGGAAUUUUGGGCAAUGGGCGAAAGCCUGACCCAGCAACGCCGCGUGAAGGAUGAAGUAUUUCGGUAUGUAAACUUCGAAAGAAUAGGAAGAAUAAAUGACGGUACUAUUUAUAAGGUCCGGCUAACUACGUGCCAGCAGCCGCGGUAAUACGUAGGGACCAAGCGUUGUUCGGAUUUACUGGGCGUAAAGGGCGCGUAGGCGGCAAUUCAAGUCAUCUGUGAAAUCUCCGGGCUUAACUCGGAACGGUCAGAUGAUACUGCUUUGCUAGAGUGCAGAAGGGGCAAUCGGAAUUCUUGGUGCAGCGGUGAAAUGCGUAGAUAUCAAGAGGAACACCUGAGGUGAAGACGGGUUGCUGGGCUGACACUGACGCUGAGGCGCGAAAAGCCAGGGGAGCAAACGGGAUUAGAUACCCUAGUAGUCCCUGAGCGGGCUGGCAAGGCGCAU
RNAcentral lists this ribosomal RNA (448 nucleotides) under uncultured bacterium. RNAcentral describes it as "bacterial SSU rRNA". It matches the Rfam family "Bacterial small subunit ribosomal RNA", at positions 355 to 825 of the family's 1533-position model. The record is from RNAcentral.